This 69-nucleotide transfer RNA is filed under the name Chryseobacterium vrystaatense. Its description in RNAcentral is "tRNA_Gly_GCC". It matches the Rfam family "tRNA". From Rfam's summary of the family: Transfer RNA (tRNA) molecules are approximately 80 nucleotides in length. Their secondary structure includes four short double-helical elements and three loops (D, anti-codon, and T loops). Lineage: Bacteria; Pseudomonadati; Bacteroidota; Flavobacteriia; Flavobacteriales; Weeksellaceae. The record is from RNAcentral.
GAGGCAAUAGUUUAAUGGAAAAACGCACAUUGCCAAUAUGAUACGCGGGUUCGAAUCCUGCUUGCCUCC